Molecule: long non-coding RNA, 4636 nt
Filed under: Mus musculus (house mouse)
Lineage: Eukaryota; Metazoa; Chordata; Mammalia; Rodentia; Muridae
Description: long non-coding RNA chr11:69076406-69081042
Source: RNAcentral
AUAAGAAUAUUGUAGGGUUGAAGUUAUAGCUCAGCUAGAGGUCUAACUAGCAUGACCCCCACAGGAAGAUUAUACGACUAUGACUAUUUGUAUUGUGCAACAAAAAUAUAGUAAGCUUAUAUACAUAAUAAGCACAUAGUUCCCCAGAGACGCGCCUGUCCAACCAUUCCAAGAAAAUCCUCAUUACCAAUUACUUCUCAUAGCCAAAUCAAGAGUGACUUGUGUGGCUUUAGCUUUCUUCUCUGCGUGUUAUGUUGAGCACUCCCGUCUUUUAAAAUCUGUCUCUCAGUUGGCUAAGGAACAGUGGCUUCCCUGGUUUGUCCUCCACUCCUCUGGCUGCCUUUCAAGUUCAUUCAGUCAGCAUUGUGUGCAUGCUUGUUUGUGGAGUGAUACAUGAGCGUGUGGCUGCAUGCAGAUGUGGGUCAGUCACAGAAGUCCUUCCUCACGAACCAUCCAUCCUGGCUAUUUUGUUUUUGUUUGGGACAGGCUCUCUAAUUGGUACUUGCCCCGUGCUGGGGUUACAAGUAUUUUGCCCCAUGCCCAUACCUGGAUUUUUAGGUGCUAGAGCUCAAAUUCAGGUCUUUGUGCAUACAAGACAAAUACUGAACUGAGCUAUUACUUCACUGUCCUAUAUUUAAAAUAAUUAGUAAAGUGUGCAUGUGGUGAUUGCUGGGGACAUAAUACUGGGCUGUCUCUCUUUUGCUUGCCCAUUAAAUAAAUGUUGGUGAUUACUGUCUCCUUGUUCUCCUCUUCUUCCUCUUCCUCCUCCUCCUCCUCCUCCUCCCCCCCCCUCCUACCUCUCUGGCAGACUGAUUGAACUCAAGAUUUCAUAGCAUUUCCAGACCCACCCCCACCACGACCAUUUCUUAAUUACAUUUUAUUAAUAUUUUAUUUUAUAUGCUUGUAUGUAUGUGUGGUCACAUGCGUGUGGAGUUCAGAAGACAACUUACCAGAGUCGCUUCUCUCCAUCCACCGGGUUGUUAGCCUUGGGAGGAGGCGUCUUUAUCCUGAGUCAAACUCCAGUCCUCCCCUUCUUUUCUUUUCCUUUUUUUAAAUACAAGGUCUCAUGUGUCCCGCGCUGCCUGGACCUUGCUGUGUAAUUCAGGAUGACCUUGAACAUCAGAUCCUGCUAGCUCUGUCUCCCAAGUGCUGGAGUUAUAUGAAGGAUUGUUUAACCACACUCAGACUGCUGGGGAUGAGACGUAAGGUCAUGUGCGUACUAGGCGAGUAUUCUCCCAACUGAAGGAUAUUCUUAGCCUCCCACCCCCAGUCACCUCUGUAGUCCUUAAACACCAACUAGAUGCUUUUGGGUUUUCUAUAACUGUGGAGCAGCAGUUCUGAACCCAGAUGUUUCCCUACCACCCAAAGUCAGUCACCCUCCCUCUGCUUCAGUCCCCUUGUCUAUACUUGCAAACACCAGCUACCUCUAAGUCAACACCACAGGACUUAGCAAUUAGCAUCUGAAAACAGAUUUUCAUUUGUUGUGAUGUUAGUAGCUUUCUAGCUCUGAGGAUUACUUGUUAAUGUUUGGUUCUUUUCAAACAUUAAGUAUCCCUGGCUGUCCUGGGAACUUGCUGUAUAAACUGGGCUGGUCUUGAACUCACAGAUCUGCCUGCCUCUGCCUCUUGCUUGCUGGGAUUAAGACUGUGUGCCAACAUGCCCAGCUUUGGAUCUCAGGGCUGUUUUAGAGACCCUCUUCAUACUCAGAGGGGCAAAGCGUACAGCCUGAACUCUCAAAAAUGGCUCUGCAGCUUGAGUCCUGGGGUUUCUCUCUCCUGCCAUUUUAUUCUAGAUCUGUAGCUGUCUGGCGCCUUUAGCGAGGGUGUUAGGUCUGUGGUGGGUGUGUUUCCUGUGGGGGGUGGGCAUCAGGCAGCCUGAGGAGCAGCUCUCUGGCUUUUGUUGACCUUGCUACUUCUCAGUAAUAAAUACUUUUAUGGGGUGUGGAAGAGUAUGCUCCAGCCACCUACGAAAGGACCAGAUUGGUUAAUGUCAGUUACCAGACACUCGGGUGGGAUUUUGAAGGAAGAUCGACAUGGUCCACGUGAGGAUGGGGUAGAGGGGACGGACUAGAAUCCCAGAUCUCUGACAUCUCCUCAGGACCUUUUCCACGAGUUGGCUUGGAUCAUGGAGGCAUGUGUUGUUUUCCCCUGUUCAGCAUCCAUCCCUGUCCUGGUAGGUGCACUCCAUUUGGCCCAUUCUUAGUCUUUAUGCUCAGUAAGAGGCUGGCCCGCCCUCCCUCCCUCCUAAUUUUCUUUUUGCCUCAGAGGUAACCAAGUGGCCUAAACCUGGCCAAUAACAGCAUCCCUUCUUCCCUGCUCCAGUGAUUAACUCAACCGUAAACCUUGGCAGGCCAGGACUUGUGCUGCAUAUUUGGGAAAGAGAAGCUUAGGCUCUGUCUAAGGGUUUUAUUGUUGUGAAGAGACACCAUGACCAUGGCAACUCUUAAAAAGGAAAACAUUUAAUUGGGGCUGGAUUACAGACUCAGAAGUUCAGUCCAUUACUGUCUUGGUGAUAAACGCAGUGCGUGUGGGCAGACACCGUGCUGGAAAAGAAGCUGAGAGUUCUACAUCUGGAUCCUCAGGCAGCAGAAGGGAACUGAAACACACUGGCCACGCUUGACCUUCUGAGACCUCAGAGCCUGCCCUCACCAUGACUCACUUCCUCCAACAAGGCCACACCUCCUAAUAGUAUCACUCCCUAUGGACCAAGCAUUCACAUACAUGAGUCUAUGGGGGCCAUUCCUAUUCAAACCGCCACAGGCUCUGAUUAAAAAAAAAAAAAAAAAAAAAAAAAAAAAAAAAAAAAAGCUAUAAAAUAAAUUAGAACAGAGGGGAAGAAGUGCACUGGAAAGAUGGCUCAGAGGGUAAAGACUGGUGCAGCCCUUGUUCCAGCACCCACAUUAUGCAGCUCAAAGCAACCUAUAACUCCAGCUACAAGGGGGCAUGGUACCUCAGGCCUCUGUGGGCACCAGCACUAUGAACACACACACACACACACACACACACAAUUUUAAAAAAAUAAAGAUGACCAGAAAUAUCAAACAACGAAUUGAGUUUUUAAAAAAAAGCUUUUAUUUUUAAGUAAGAAUGCUCUUGUUUUAUGAAUGACACUAAUUUGCAUAUUAAAUAACCCUGUAAUAGAAAGCUUUGAGAUAGUUUUAAACAGAGUUAAAAAGAGGGGAGACUUUGGGUUACAAGAACCCUUCCCCGAAAAACAAAUUCUUAGAAUGAUCCCUUUUUUCCAAGAGUGUCAGUGUGACCAGUGUACCCAGCCUCUGUCAUGUCUAGUACAAAAACACAAUGGUCAGUGGGACUAAGAAAGCUGGGUUCACGGUCACCACCUCAAAGGAAGAGCACGUGCUGAGUUCUCUGUGAGUGAGAAGCUGGUUCUUGUUAACUUCCAUACCCAGAGAUGAACUCACAUAUCCACCGUGAAAACAAAAUCAAACAAACAAACAAAUCUAAAGGCCUAUGACAGAGUUGAAGUGAGAACACCAAUGAGCUUUCUAUCUUCUUUCGGACUCUCGGGUCCUUCUGUCUGCCGCCCAUCCUUCUUACCUCAUACUGCCCUGUCUUUGUCCUGAUCCUAAAUUUUGGACAAUUCUUUUUUUAUUUCUUCAUCCCUAAAGAAUUGACUUUUGUUGUUGUUCUUUCAAGACAGCCCAGCUAUAUAGCCAACUUGGCACGGAACUUUCAGUCCUCCUGCCUCCGCGCUAAGUGAUAUGACUUAGUGUAGAGAAGCGCUUUCCUGACCACCUGGGACUCACAUUGUGGAAAGAGAACCAUCUCUCACUCCAGCUUUGACCUGGACUCUUGGCUGGCUGACAGUCACCCGGCCAGUAGUCCUACCCUCUGCCCUUGCAGGUGUCGCAAGUGCUGUUAAUUAUACUGUGCAAUUAUACUCUGCUGUCUUUGUUCUUGCAUCCACAUGAUCAGCUUGUAGCUUUACUGCAGCAGGACAGAGUUAGCGCUCUCCCGGUCACCAGGGUGUGGCUGCAGUCUUUUUUAGUGACUUCAUACUUAGCUCCUUGUUUGUAAGGCAGUCUGAGGUGGUCUCCCCGGUGGAAGCUCCCCAGAAGUCAUCUUUAGGUUUUAACCUGCUAUAAUUAGCUGCAUUAAACUGGGUAGAGGGGGCACAUGCCUUUGAUCCCAGCACUCAGGAGGCAGGAGAAGCAGAUCUCUGAGUUCGAGGCCAGCCUGGUCUACAGAGCGAGUUCCAGGACAGCCAGGGCUACACAGGGAAGCCCUGUCUCGAUAAACCGAAACCAAACAGCUGCAUUGACUGUAAGGGUAAAUGAAAGAUCGAUAAUGUCUUACAUAAUUUCCUCCACGUCCUGUGGUGGGGAGGGACAGCUGCCCUGCCAUUCGGAGUCUUGCCUGUUACCUGUGUGGUGUGAUUUUUGAGCAGCCAGCUGCAAAUCCUUUUAUCCAUCUUUCUCAGUGCUCUAACACUGCUAUGUUAAGCCUUGACCUUCAUUUUAACGCCGGCUUCUGUCAUCAUUGCAACCUAGCAGCUUUCACAGUGGGCCCUUCUCACUGCCACAGAGAGCAAGCUCUUUCCUCAGUAGAACUCGGGAGGCUGAGGUAAGAGGAUGCCAGGUUCAAGACCAGCCUGAGCUUCAUAGGGAAACCCUGCU